UGUCAGUGCUAGGGUGUAGCUACUGAUCCCAUACUACGGCGCAGAGAGCGAGAAUGAAAGGGGGAGGUGGGACAUCAGGUGUCACAGCUCCACAGCCCCAGAUGAGGCUGCAUCACCACGACAACCCGGGGUGCCGUCAGCUCUCUGUGCCCCACCAGCCAAGCACCUGACCAUCCGCCCAGCCAGCUAUCCCACAAUCUACCAAUCCAUCCCUCCAUCCACCCCGGCGAAGCGAGGCCAGCGCCGGUCGGAACUGGCAACCUGCAGGAGUCAUCAGGCUGCCACAGAUGAAGCGAAGAUAGCAACGAGAUGAAGAGGCAGAGCUGACUCUAUACCCCCAGGGGGGUGGGGGGGGGUGUGCAGCGAGGUGGAACCACUUGCCUGCCUCCCAGUGGAGAGACACUUCCACCAUCAGAGCGCCAUCUGCAGACUCGGUGGGGCGGGACAGCUGGUGUUGUGAAUCAGGCCGCCGUAGUCCAGGGACCGGCUACUUCCCAACACCAGGGUCUAACCCUCGCCCCUCGCACCCCAUUAAUCUCUCACUUUCUCCGUUUAUACAUCAUCCAAAGUCACUGCUGCUUUCUUUUCCACAUCUACUUGUAAAUCAAGUAGAUUUCUUCUUAUUUUAACUUUUAUUUUAUUUAUACUCAUCUUAGAAUUGUAAACCCUCAAUCAGUGUAGCAAAGUAAAUAUGUCUAAAGUAAAUUAAUACAUAUGUAUUUCAAAAUUUGUGUGUGUCUUAAGUACUUAUAACUGAUAAAAAAAAUUUUUUAAAUCACACCAAAUUGAAAUUAUUGAAUGUUUUUUGUCCUGGGUCGGUUCAUUCCGUUACAACUUUACUUUGUGCUUUUUGUACAAACCAUUUCUCGGCUUACUUUUAUUUGUAGUGACGUAUUUUGAGGAAUUGUGGCAAUAAAUAAUCAUAAAAUGCCCUGA
Long non-coding RNA from Xiphophorus hellerii (green swordtail), 936 nucleotides. RefSeq lists it as uncharacterized. The record is from RefSeq and is a predicted model, not a curated record. Lineage: Eukaryota; Metazoa; Chordata; Actinopteri; Cyprinodontiformes; Poeciliidae. The transcript is spliced from 3 exons.